Molecule: ribosomal RNA, 628 nt
Filed under: uncultured bacterium
Lineage: Bacteria
Description: bacterial SSU rRNA
Rfam family: Bacterial small subunit ribosomal RNA
Source: RNAcentral
UAGCUGGUCUGAGAGGAUGGCCAGCCACAUUGGGACUGAGACACGGCCCAAACUCCUACGGGAGGCAGCAGUGGGGAAUCUUGCGCAAUGGGCGAAAGCCUGACGCAGCCAUGCCGCGUGGAUGAUGAAGGUCUUAGGAUUGUAAAAUCCUUUCAGCGGGGACGAUAAUGACGGUACCCGCAGAAGAAGCCCCGGCUAACUUCGUGCCAGCAGCCGCGGUAAUACGAAGGGGGCUAGCGUUGCUCGGAUUUACUGGGCGUAAAGGGCGCGUAGGCGGACAGUUAAGUUGGGGGUGAAAGCCCGGGGCUCAACCUCGGAAUUGCCUUCAAUACUGGCUGUCUUGAGUGUGAGAGAGGUGUGUGGAACUCCGAGUGUAGAGGUGAAAUUCGUAGAUAUUCGGAAGAACACCAGUGGCGAAGGCGACACACUGGCUCACUACUGACGCUGAGGCGCGAAAGCGUGGGGAGCAAACAGGAUUAGAUACCCUGGUAGUCCACGCUGUAAACGAUGAGUGCUAGUUGUCGGGCGGCAUGCCGUUCGGUGACGCAGCUAACGCAUUAAGCACUCCGCCUGGGGAGUACGGUCGCAAGAUUAAAACUCAAAGGAAUUGACGGGGGCCCNCACAAGC